UUACUGGUACGCAUCAUCAGUAGUGUUCCUCUGGGUCAUAGGGUGUUUCAGCCCUUAACACUAUACACCCUCUCCAGAGGCGGCCAGCUGCAGGAUGAUAAGACCUGAGCUUGCGACCCAAGCCCAAUUAGCCCUGAAAGUCACCUUGAUGGCAGACCUCUCAGGGGACUAUGCAUGGCAGGGGCGUCCGAACCUUCACGUUG
This is a long non-coding RNA of Thalassophryne amazonica, 203 nucleotides long. RefSeq lists it as uncharacterized. Lineage: Eukaryota; Metazoa; Chordata; Actinopteri; Batrachoidiformes; Batrachoididae. The transcript is spliced from 3 exons. The record is from RefSeq and is a predicted model, not a curated record.